This 496-nucleotide ribosomal RNA is filed under the name uncultured bacterium. RNAcentral's name for it is "partial 16S ribosomal RNA". It matches the Rfam family "Bacterial small subunit ribosomal RNA", at positions 29 to 507 of the family's 1533-position model. The record is from RNAcentral.
AUGAACGCUGGCGGCGUGCCUAAUGCAUGCAAGUCGAGCGAACAGACGAGGAGCUUGCUCCUCUGACGUUAGCGGCGGACGGGUGAGUAACACGUGGAUAACCUACCUAUAAGACUGGGAUAACUUCGGGAAACCGGAGCUAAUACCGGAUAAUAUAUUGAACCGCAUGGUUCAAUAGUGAAAGACGGUUUUGCUGUCACUUAUAGAUGGAUCCGCGCCGCAUUAGCUAGUUGGUAAGGUAACGGCUUACCAAGGCAACGAUGCGUAGCCGACCUGAGAGGGUGAUCGGCCACACUGGAACUGAGACACGGUCCAGACUCCUACGGGAGGCAGCAGUAGGGAAUCUUCCGCAAUGGGCGAAAGCUUGACGGAGCAACGCCGCGUGAGUGAUGAAGGUCUUCGGAUCGUAAAACUCUGUUAUUAGGGAAGAACAAAUGUGUAAGUAACUAUGCACGUCUUGACGGUACCUAAUCAGAAAGCCACGGCUAACUACGUG